AUUCCAGCUCCAAUAGCGUAUACUAAAGUUGUUGCAGUUAAAAAGCUCGUAGUUGAAUUUCUGGUCUCGGACAGCGGUCUGCCUCAAACGAGGUACGCACCACCUGUUCAGGUCCAUCCUCGGAGAAAACAUGCCUGUGAUUCAGUUCAUGGGUAUGGGAUCUUCGUCAUUUACUGUGAGCAAAAUAUAGUGUUCAAAGCAGGCUUAUGCCGUUGAAUACAUUAGCAUGGAAUAAUAAAAUAAGACCUUGGUCUAUUUUGUUGGUUUGUACUCCAAGGUAAUGAUUAAUAGGGAUAGUUGGGGGUAUUCGUAUUCAAUUGUCAGAGGUGAAAUUCUUGGAUUUAUGGAAGACGAACUACUGCGAAAGCAUUUACCAAGGAUGUUUUCAUUA
This 391-nucleotide ribosomal RNA is filed under the name Chrysophyceae sp. RNAcentral describes it as "partial small subunit ribosomal RNA". It matches the Rfam family "Eukaryotic small subunit ribosomal RNA", at positions 582 to 975 of the family's 1831-position model. Lineage: Eukaryota; Chrysophyceae. The record is from RNAcentral.